Molecule: long non-coding RNA, 1608 nt
Organism: Prionailurus viverrinus (fishing cat)
Lineage: Eukaryota; Metazoa; Chordata; Mammalia; Carnivora; Felidae
Exons: 5
Source: RefSeq, a predicted model, not a curated record
UUCAUCUCUGCUCCCCAGGCACCCAGAGGGGAGGGGUGGUGAGAGCAAGGUUUUUGUUUUUUGUUUUUCAAUCUUAGCCCACCCUGCCACCCCAGAAGAGUGUUUUAUCCACUCCUGCAGAGAGCCCUUAAUUGAACCGCUUGGAAAACAUCCGCAGAUGGACCUCAAGCUCAGGUGACAGCGCGGGCCUACAGCUGCAGCCACCAGAGGCACCGAGCGCUGGAUUUGGCGUUCUGCACAGAAAGUAAAUAACAAGUUAGACCCGGUUCUCAGCAGAGAAGAUGGAAGAACUUUUUCCUUCAGGAGUUGAAAGAAGAAAACCUUCCAUUUUGAGGACCUGCCCUCUGCUUCUAUGUGCGACCAGUUCCGGAGAAUCCUGUGGAAGUCUGACUCCCUGUCCCUCAGGUGCCUGGCACUGAGCUUGCCUUCAGCAACUAUUGUCUGGUGAGAGACUGAAGCCGUCUGGUUUCCAGAGAGACUCGAACCCAUUCCAAAGGAGAGACAGGUGCUUCUCAGCUCCCCUUUUGUGACAGCUCCGAAGUUUACCCGUGUGCCCUCAUGUCCCCACCCCAGUCAUGUACCCAGCCCAGAGCCAGGGUAAAAGCGCGCACGGCAGAGGCGUGUCUGGGAAGGGGGACAGGAGGCAGGCGCAGACGCUCUUCCAGCCCCACCCUGCCUCGGGCGGGCCCUCACCCACGGAGCCCACAUUGUGGAUUUUGCCCAGGCCUGACGUCUGAUUAGGUAGCGUCCACUUCUGGAAGAGCUGCUGAAAGACAGCUGACUCGGCCCCAUCGUUCUGCACCUCCACCUGUGUGUUCGGGGGGUACUGCUUCGCUUUGAUAAAGUUCUGGGAAGAGAAAGCGGUGGCUGGGUCUGUGUCCCUCUCUGAACCCCCAUAGCCCUCCAAUGCAAGUGACAGCCUGGCUCUAACCCCAACCAGACCCAACCACAAACCUACCCCAGGUCCCAAGCGCAAACUAGAACCCAACCCCAGUCCCAGUGCUGACCCAAAGCUAAGUAAGGCCUGCUCUGGCCUCAACCCCAAAACCAAAUGAGACCUCAGUUCUGACCCUGACCCCUAGCUGCCAUCUCCAACCUUGAGCCCAAUCCCCAUUCUCACUCUGACCCCAAGCCAGCUAGGGUUAUUGACUCCAACCCCAGUAAUGACCCCAAACUCUGACUUAGCCCCAGCCCCCUGCUGACCCGAUCCCCUCUUGUAAAAGGUCAGCUUCCAUUUCUCCCUCCUUUGUCUGAACUGAGCUUGGGGUGGGAGCUCACAUCCGGAGGAGGCCCCCAGGUUGCCUGUUGGUGGGCCCCUGGUGGCAGGCAGCGACCCCCGCAGGGGGCUACAGAGCAGACCCUCAGCACCCCCAGCUGGGCUGGGCCCAGAGCUUUGGAGGCCUCUGCCUGGUGGGACGCCCAGUCUGAUCCCCCUUCUUUCUCCCUGCUGUAUCUGUUUCUCUCCCCUUCCCCCUGCCGAUCCCCAUGCCCACCAGUGCCUGAUUCAUGGCCCCCAUCUUCUCCUGGGUGUUGGAGUUCUUCCCCUUCCACACAUAGAUCUUCAGGCCCCCCUGGUCCAGGAUAUAACAGUCCUACAGGUGGGAGAGA